RNAcentral lists this long non-coding RNA (257 nucleotides) under Medicago truncatula (barrel medic). RNAcentral's name for it is "lncRNA gene40190". Lineage: Eukaryota; Viridiplantae; Streptophyta; Magnoliopsida; Fabales; Fabaceae. The record is from RNAcentral.
GGGGGCGUUUGUUUCAAGUCAUAUUUGGAGAUUCCUAGAAAUAGGAUAUCAGGAAAGAUAUAUUUCUAUGUUUGAUUCAAAUUUUUAAAAUUUUAUUCCUGGGAAUAGAAGUUUCUUAGGAAUGUUGUUUCGUUCCUAAGGAAAUUGGGAGGAAUAAAGUUCUCAUGAAGCUGGGAAUAAAAUCAUUAAUUACUAUUCAUAAACAUCGUUUUAUCAGCCAUUCCCAGUAAAAAUUUAAAUACUAACCAAACACAUUU